RNAcentral lists this ribosomal RNA (251 nucleotides) under uncultured prokaryote. RNAcentral's name for it is "partial 16S rRNA". It matches the Rfam family "Bacterial small subunit ribosomal RNA", at positions 525 to 775 of the family's 1533-position model. The record is from RNAcentral.
ACGGAGGGUGCAAGCGUUGUCCGGAAUUAUUGGGCGUAAAGCGCGUGUAGGCGGCUCGUUAUGUCGGAUGUGAAAUCCUGCGGCUCAACUGCAGAACUGCGUUCGAAACUGGCGAGCUUGAGUGCGAGAGGGGGAGGUGGAAUUCCCGGUGUAGAGGUGAAAUUCGUAGAUAUCGGGAAGAAUACCGGUGGCGAAGGCGACCUCCUGGCUCGUAACUGACGCUCAGACGCGAAAGCGUGGGGAGCAAACAG